This is a long non-coding RNA of Anopheles gambiae (African malaria mosquito), 4705 nucleotides long. RefSeq lists it as uncharacterized. NCBI's taxonomy places the organism in Eukaryota, Metazoa, Arthropoda, Insecta, Diptera, Culicidae. The transcript has 3 exons. The record is from RefSeq and is a predicted model, not a curated record.
AGGCUUAUGAAAGGGGGCGGGAACGGGUACCACGGUUCUCUCCCGCUCCCAUACAAAAUACACGGUGCGCUCUCUCAAUGCUCGCGCCCAUGCGCGAGCAUCCUUUCGUGUGCAUGUGUUUGUUUCUUUCGUGUAGCGCUGUGUGCGUUUCUUUCGUUCAGCGAUCGCUCACACUCGCGCGUAUUUUUUUGUUAUCUAAAGCUAAACAAAAAAACAAACACGCGUCAAUCUUUUUUUCAUCACUUUAUUCAAACAUUUACAUAACUUUACACGAUUUCACACAUUUACAUAAACAAUAUUAAACUAAAAUAAAAUCAAUCGCCCCAUCGAUGCAAACGUUGAAGUGGCCGAAUAUCUGCGUAGAUCCUGUUAUAAACAUAAAAAAGGUACGAAAUGAAGCUGCGCAAUGUACAUAACAUGCAUUACGAAUCAUUCGCGCAGCUUCAUUUGAAUUCGCACAACACUUGAACACUUGAACACUUUACAAAAUCAUAACUCCAAUCGUCCAGGACUUAAGCUGACAAAACGUGCACGUGCGGCCGCUCGCUGCCGAUCCUUGAGCUGUACUGACGAUUUCGUGUGGUAGCAAGAAUGAGAGCACACAGAGGAACUUUCGGUGCAGCAGUGCAAGCGAGACACCGACAUCAGCACAGCGCUGCGAGCAGAUCAAACUGAGCGCGCAGGCUGAAAGUGAACGCACACAUUUCCACAUGUGUAACUGUGUUAGUGCCAAAACUGUGUCGAAACCAAAACGUACUCUCGCCUCCGUGUAUUUCACACCGAUUCUCCGCUUAACUCUAGGUUUUUACACACACCAUGAUAAAAUAUCCCGCUCGUUGUUUGUAGGGACAUGACUGCUUAAAAAAAGCAAACUCACAUUCGUUUGUCUAACUUUAGAGCUUUGAUUUUUCAUUCGAAAGUGAGAUGUUGUUUUCAAAUGGAUAUCUAGCACUAGGCAUCGAUCUUUCGUCGGUUAAGAAUUGCUCAAUUUACCGGGUCACUAGAUGCUUUAUUCAAUUUAAAUCAUGCUCCAGUUAGCUAUGGAGCUCAAAAAUGAUUUUUAUUUAUUUUUUUUUUUAUUCAGCAGGGACGGCUUUGCCGUAUUGCUUAAAAUUAGAGUACAUACAUAUUCAGUUUAAUCUUUAAUGCACGACUGUUGCGAGACAUUUCCUUCUCGCAGCUUUAGGAGGGCACCAUAUCCCGGGUGUGCUCGGACGUUGCUGUCCAAAUCCGAUCCUUGUCCUUGUCGAGUGGUCCAAUAACAGGGGGCAGAGGUCGAGAUCAUAUGCUUCGUCAUUAUCCUGUGGAAAAGAAAAUUUCCUAGGCUUGCUCGAAUUCUUCUGGUUCAUUCUUGUCCGUUGAAGUAGUCCGCUCAUGUCCGUGGGCAUUGCAGGGGUCUUAAUCCAAUCUUUCCAGGGCCAUACAUAAUGGCCAAGGUUUCAAAGAAACUCUAGGAGAGAUCGAGUACAGGAACCUCCUAAGUUCAUCCCUGUCCCACAAGCCCUGCCAGCGAGCAAUGCAGAAAGCUUGUGGGGCCCGUAAGAUCUCGUGAGGGAGGAUAGGUCUAUCGUAAAAAGACCCAUCCGAAGCACCCUUCUUGGCCAAAUGGUCUGCUUUCUCGUUUCCUAAGAUGCCGCAAUGAGCAGGCAACCAUACCAGGGAUAUUCGAAACGAUUUUUCAAACAGGGAGCUUAGGACUUUUAGAAUUUCUUUUACAAAAUAGUCUGGGCUCUUAAUAGCCUUCACGGAUUUUAAUGCUUCAAGAGCACUUAGGCUGUCUGAAAAAAUUACAUACUGAUCCGGAGGGCAUGCACUUAUCAACAGUAAGGCAUAAAAGAUUGCGGCGAGCUCCGCUACAUAAACUGAGCAUGGUUGGCGUAAUUUAAAAUAUGCUUCGGUACACGUGUUAUAUAUACCAAAACCAAUGCCCUGCUCUGAUGAGGAUCCGUCAGUGUAAAAAUGGUUUACAUUUGGUUGGCCAUGUCUUUCCACAAAAAUGUAGGGAAUUGUCAUCCAGCGAAGAUUAUCAGGGAUAGUUUAAAUUGCCUCUCUCAACGAGGUAUCUACACUUAAAAUGGAACUUUAGGACUCUAGUAAGCUGGCACUACUAAUGUUUUGAAAACUACUAGGGUGCACCUGUAGAGAAACAAAAUCACGAUAGACCUUUAUGAUUUUGCAUUUAGAACCUAUCUCUUGCAGUGUUUUAAAGUUCUCGAUUAUCAAGGGAUUUGAUACUGUAGAGCGGACAAAAAAGCGAAGCGAUAAUAGCUCAAAACGAAGCUUUAGCGGCAUCACUUCGAGUGACAUGUUGUGAGUCGACUUCAUGCUACCUAGUGCGAUUCUAAGAUAACGGUACUGAAUCCUCUCAAGUCGGAUUAGAUGCGACUUGGCUGCCCAUUGGAAGCAUAUGCAACCAUAUUCCAAGACGGACAGUAUCGUAGUCUUAUAUAGGUUAAGGACGUCUUUGGGAUGUGUACCCCACCAGAGUCCGGUAAUCGUUCUGAGAAAAUUGAUUCUUCUUGUACAUUUCUGUACCAGAUAGUCAAUAUGUGUCCUCCAUACAUUUUUGCUAUCAAACCAAACCCCUAGGUAUCGAAAAGUUCUUGGAAUGGAUAUCUUUUUACCAUAUAAAAAGAUAUCGACCUUUGUGUCAACCAAAUUCAAGCGUCUAUUACUUUCAGUGUAGUAAAAGAAAGAGAAUAUCAGCAUUUCCGCUUUCUCUGGAUAAAACUCAAUACCUAGGUUUGUGGCCCACACUUCUAAAUUGUUAAGUGUGGUUUGCAAAGGACUUUGAGUCAAAAGCCCCCUUGAUGUCAUGAAAUACAGAUGCCAUUAUUUCCGUACGAAAAUGAGCCAUUUCAAUUUCGGACACAAGUAGCGCGAGAUUUUUUUCGGAUCGCUUUGAUUGACACCCUCGGUGUAAUCGAUCUUUUUACUCCUGUUAGAGGGGCCAGAUUGGGCAAAGAUUCAUUACCCUCAAGAAGAGAGAGUGUAUCGAACGGAUUCGCUUCUGGGGUUCUUUUCAAAACAUCGGCGGAUGACUCCUUUGAAUUCUGUAGGACGGCUUUUUUAUGCACGGCCUGCUUUUUACGGUAAACUGAGCAUGUAGACACCUCAUACCGUUCCAACAAUGCAAAGCAACAAUGGCCUAGAUAUUGUUUCAAAUGCCCGUUUUAGAUCCAAGAAAACAACAACUAUCGAUUCCCUCCGAUCCAUCAACACCCUCCACCUCGCCAGUACAAGAUUCAGAGCAGUCUCACAAGAGUGUCCUUGCCGAUAUCGCUCUCGGAUUGCUCUCGGAUUAACAACUCGCUUCCAUUCAGAAACUGAACCAAUUGCUCCUUAACUACAGUCUCCAGCACCUUUUCGAGCACAUGCAACAUAUUGAUAGGACGAAAAUCCUCCGCAUUGGGAGCUCCGUUCACCUUAGGAAUAGGUGUUACCUUAGGAAUAGGUGUAUUAUCAAUGAUUCGUUCCAUGUUUUUGGGAAAAUUCUACUCUCUAGCGAUUCAUUUAUCACCAUCAAAAGGUCAUCUCUUAUCACAUGAAAGCAAUCCUGUAUGGUUGUUGAACUCACGCUUCCUAUACCUGUGGUUUUUAUCAGGUCGAAACAAAUAAUCUUUAUCUCACUAAGAGUUAUUUUUUGGAAUCUGAAAUGGUUUCGUGGAGUUUCUACAUGCGACAAAUAAUAAGGCUCAUUAACAUCAUCAAUGUUUUGAUUUAUAUCCCGCUUGGCAAAGAGUAACUCAUUUUGAUGCCUCUCGCUACCUCUGACCCUAGUUUUAAAGGAAUCAUGCGACACACUCGCACUCCACUACCCCAUCCAAUGGAAAAACGCUCCUACCAUCGAGGUGUUGACCAAAAUUUCGCUGUGUGCAUGAGACACACACUCGCACUCCUCCAGCCCUCCAUAGCCGAUCGCUCCAACCGUUGCGAAUUUGCGAGAAUUUUUGCUCUGAGCGUGAGACCCUGAAGCGCAAUAGAUGACACUAUGUGUAAAGACGAUCAUAAUUCGAUAUGGUCAAAAUGCGUCGAUUGUCGUUUCAUCUAUCUGGUAAUGAUGUUUUCACUUCAUCAAAAUUUUAAACAUUAACAACUAGGCUGAUAACAAUAUUUGAAUUUUUAAUCAGAAUAAAAUAAAUUCAUUUGAAGCAAAAUAAAUUACAUUAUACUCUAUGUUGACCAAAUGAUCAACACUUGUACAUAGUGCCAUUUUUUUUGUGUUCUUCACUCUCGCGCUGUGUUGUGAUCGUUCGAAACUCAUUGCCAGAACGAAUGCAAAUUUUAUUUUAGAAGGAUCGGUGCCGGAAGAUGCAGCGCAAAUUAUGAAAUGAUAAUAGAAAAGUGGUUAAGUAAAUCGUGAAAGAUGUCAACGCACGCGUAAAUGCAGUAUGUUUUGUUACAUGAUCUACGGCUAUUUCAUCACUAAAGCUUCUGAUAACAGAUCAAAGCAGAUGGAUAGCAUACCGAGUCGCCGUUUAAUUUAAAAUAUCUUCGUGAUCGGCAAACGCAUCAAACAGCAAUUGUUUCUCUUCCAACAGCACGCGCCAUCGGUGGAGCAAGCAGGCAACGUUUUGUUUGCCCAGCACGCACCAUCAUGAAUUGAAAUAUUCCCGAAUAGCUCUGUGAAUAAAAAACUCCACACUUACUGUAGGAAUUUCAUGGAAUUUUUUGGUCGGCCUACGCUCACGGGAAUGGUGGGUCC